Molecule: ribosomal RNA, 451 nt
Filed under: uncultured bacterium
Lineage: Bacteria
Description: bacterial SSU rRNA
Rfam family: Bacterial small subunit ribosomal RNA
Source: RNAcentral
AGCGGCGGACGGGUGAGUAAUGCUUGGGAAUAUGCCUUAUGGUGGGGGACAACAGUUGGAAACGACUGCUAAUACCGCAUGAUGUCUACGGACCAAAGUGGGGGACCUUCGGGCCUCACGCCAUAAGAUUAGCCCAAGUGGGAUUAGCUAGUUGGUGAGGUAAUGGCUCACCAAGGCGACGAUCCCUAGCUGGUUUGAGAGGAUGAUCAGCCACACUGGGACUGAGACACGGCCCAGACUCCUACGGGAGGCAGCAGUGGGGAAUAUUGCACAAUGGGCGCAAGCCUGAUGCAGCCAUGCCGCGUGUGUGAAGAAGGCCUUCGGGUUGUAAAGCACUUUCAGUAAGGAGGAAAGGUUAAGUGUUAAUAGCACUUAGCUGUGACGUUACUUACAGAAGAAGCACCGGCUAACUCCGUGCCAGCAGCCGCGGUAAUACGGAGGGUGCGAGCGU